Molecule: ribosomal RNA, 373 nt
Filed under: uncultured organism
Description: bacterial SSU rRNA
Rfam family: Bacterial small subunit ribosomal RNA
Source: RNAcentral
CGGGGGGAGCAAGCGUUGUUCGGAUUUACUGGGCGUAAAGGGCGCGUAGGCGGCGCAACAAGUCACUUGUGAAAUCUCCGGGCUUAACCCGGAGCGGCCAAGUGAUACUGUCGUGCUAGAGUGCGGAAGGGGCUACUGGAAUUCUCGGUGUAGCGGUGAAAUGCGUAGAUAUCGAGAGGAACACCUGCGGCGAAGGCGGGUAGCUGGGCCGACACUGACGCUGAGGCGCGAAAGCCAGGGGAGCGGACGGGAUUAGAUACCCCGGUAGUCCUAGCCUUAAACGAUGAAUGCUUGGUGUCUGGGGUUUUAUAGUCCCCGGGUGCCGUCGCUAACGCUUUAAGCAUUCCGCCUGGGGAGUACGGUCGCAAGACUG